RNAcentral lists this ribosomal RNA (231 nucleotides) under Bacillus sp. 320b_11T. Its description in RNAcentral is "partial 16S ribosomal RNA". It matches the Rfam family "Bacterial small subunit ribosomal RNA", at positions 128 to 351 of the family's 1533-position model. The record is from RNAcentral. Lineage: Bacteria; Bacillati; Bacillota; Bacilli; Caryophanales; Bacillaceae.
GCCUGUAAGACUGGGAUAACUCCGGGAAACCGGGGCUAAUACCGGAUAACUCAUUUCCUCGCAUGAGGAAAUGUUGAAAGGUGGCUUUUAGCUAUCACUUACAGAUGGACCCGCGGCGCAUUAGCUAGUUGGUGAGGUAACGGCUCACCAAGGCGACGAUGCGUAGCCGACCUGAGAGGGUGAUCGGCCACACUGGGACUGAGACACGGCCCAGACUCCUACGGGAGGCAG